RNAcentral lists this ribosomal RNA (442 nucleotides) under uncultured bacterium. RNAcentral's name for it is "bacterial SSU rRNA". It matches the Rfam family "Bacterial small subunit ribosomal RNA", at positions 8 to 455 of the family's 1533-position model. The record is from RNAcentral.
AGAGUUUGAUCCUGGCUCAGAUUGAACGCUGGCGGCAUGCCUUACACAUGCAAGUCGAACGGUAACAGCACUUCGGUGGCUGACGAGUGGCGAACGGGUGAGUAAUACAUCGGAACGUGCCCGAGAGUGGGGGAUAACGCAGCGAAAGCUGUGCUAAUACCGCAUACGAUCUACGGAUGAAAGCAGGGGACCGCAAGGCCUUGCGCUCAUGGAGCGGCCGAUGGCAGAUUAGGUAGUUGGUGGGAUAAAAGCUUACCAAGCCGACGAUCUGUAGCUGGUCUGAGAGGACGACCAGCCACACUGGGACUGAGACACGGCCCAGACUCCUACGGGAGGCAGCAGUGGGGAAUUUUGGACAAUGGGCGAAAGCCUGAUCCAGCCAUGCCGCGUGCAGGAUGAAGGCCUUCGGGUUAAAACUGCUUUUGUACGGAACGAAAAGGUC